This 889-nucleotide long non-coding RNA is filed under the name Homo sapiens (human). RNAcentral describes it as "HSALNT0142697". Lineage: Eukaryota; Metazoa; Chordata; Mammalia; Primates; Hominidae. The record is from RNAcentral.
GCCUGCCUUACAUUUCUUAGACUUAAGUAAGAUAUUGCCAGUGGCUUUUCCCAUGUGUUCCAACAACAUAGUUUAUUGGACUGCUCCCAAUUUAGAGCGUAUUGGCAAAAAAAAUGCAAACAGGCCUCAGCCCUAGAGCCACCAUUGUUGGGGCUAUUAAUGUUCAUUUGGUAUCAAAAAUGAAGAAACAAGAUAAAUUGUGAAAAUAAGACAUAAUGAAAAUGACACUAAGUACAGUCUCCCAGGAAAAAAAUUGUCUUUUCCCAUGGUAGAAAAUUUGGAAAAUGCAGAAAAUACAAGGAAGAAUGAAAAAAAAUUACCACAUUCCCCCCUACUGUCUAGACAUAACUGCUGUAUUUUAAAAAUAUAUGUAAUUAUUUUUAAAUACUUUCAAAAUUGGAAUCAUAUAAUAUGUUGUUAUGCAUAUGUGUGUAUGUGUGUAUUAAUUAAUAACCUGCUUUUCACAUAACAAUAUGUUGUGAAUUUUAUGUCAUUAUUUUAAUAACUGCCUAAUGCAAAUGAACCACAGUUUGUUUAAUCACCCAUUAUUGGACAUAAAGAUUCUGUUUUUCCCUGUAACACAUAACACUUUAAUGAAUCUUCCCAGUAUGUCACUAUUUUCCUAGUAUGCUUUUUUAGGAGGGGAAUUUUUGGGUCUUAAGCUUUUUUGUAAAUGUUUUUAAAUUGCCCUCCUGAAAGACCAAUAUGAACUCCCACCGGCAGAGUCCCCAUUUCCCUUUUUGAUGACUGAAAAUAGUAAGGGUGAAUUUUUUUAAAACAUGUUGGCAUCUCUGUAACUGUUUAUUUCUAGCUUUUGCCCAUUUUUCUUUUGAACUGUUUUUGACUUUUUCUUACUUGUUCAUACAUAUUCUUAUAUAUUAAGGAUAUU